UCUAGAGGCAAGAAGUCUGAGAUCAAGGUGUCAGCAGGGCUGGUUUCCUCUGAGGGCUGUGCGGGAAGGAUCUGUUCCAGGCCUCUCUGACUUGCCAAGAACCCCAUGUGGGGCUGUGACAGGCAGAAGGAUGGCUCCUUGAAGAUACUCAUGUCCUAAUUCCCAGAACAUGUGAAUAUGCUACUUCAACAGCAAAAGGGACGUUGCAGAUGUAAAUUACGGACCUCGAGACCGGGAGAUUAUUCUGGAUUGUCUGGUGGACCCACUGUAAUCACAAGGUUCAUAUAAGGGAAAUAGGGAAGCAGGAGAGUCGGAGAAGGAGAUGGGAUGAUGGAGGCAGAGGUUGGAGUGAUGCAAUUGCUAGCUUUGAAGGUAGAGGAAGAGACCUUAAGCCAAGGAAUGUGGGUGGCUUCUAGAAGCUAAAAAAAGGCAAACAAACAAACAAACAACAACCCUGCAACAGAUUCUUCCCUAGACCCUCCAGAAGGAACACUGCCUUGCUAACACCUUGAUUUUAGCCCAGUAAAAUUCAUUUUGAACUUCUAACCUGCAGAACCA
RNAcentral lists this long non-coding RNA (558 nucleotides) under Homo sapiens (human). RNAcentral describes it as "non-protein coding lnc-MEX3B-1:1". The record is from RNAcentral. Lineage: Eukaryota; Metazoa; Chordata; Mammalia; Primates; Hominidae.